Molecule: ribosomal RNA, 423 nt
Filed under: uncultured Eubacterium sp.
Lineage: Bacteria; Bacillati; Bacillota; Clostridia; Eubacteriales; Eubacteriaceae
Description: bacterial SSU rRNA
Rfam family: Bacterial small subunit ribosomal RNA
Source: RNAcentral
UGGGGAAUAUUGCACAAUGGGGGAAACCCUGAUGCAGCAACGCCGCGUGAAGGAAGACGGUUUUCGGAUUGUAAACUUCUGUUCUUAGUGAAGAAUAAUGACGGUAGCUAAGGAGCAAGCCACGGCUAACUACGUGCCAGCAGCCGCGGUAAUACGUAGGUGGCAAGCGUUGUCCGGAAUUACUGGGUGUAAAGGGAGCGUAGGCGGGAUGCCAAGUCAGCUGUGAAAACUACGGGCUUAACCUGUAGACUGCAGUUGAAACUGGUAUUCUUGAGUGAAGUAGAGGUUGGCGGAAUUCCGAGUGUAGCGGUGAAAUGCGUAGAUAUUCGGAGGAACACCGGUGGCGAAGGCGGCCAACUGGGCUUUAACUGACGCUGAGGCUCGAAAGUGUGGGGAGCAAACAGGAUUAGAUACCCUGGUAGU